RNAcentral lists this ribosomal RNA (191 nucleotides) under uncultured bacterium. RNAcentral's name for it is "partial 16S ribosomal RNA". It matches the Rfam family "Bacterial small subunit ribosomal RNA", at positions 338 to 521 of the family's 1533-position model. The record is from RNAcentral.
CCUACGGGGGGCAGCAGUAGGGAAUAUUGCGCAAUGGGCGAAAGCCUGACGCAGCGACGCCGCGUGUGGGAGGAAGCCUUUCGGGGUGUAAACCACUGUCAGAGGGGAAGAACUCCAUCGUUCCAAAUAGGGCGGUGACUGACGGUACCCUCAGAGGAAGCGCCGGCUAACUCCGUGCCAGCAGCCGCGGU